RNAcentral lists this non-coding RNA (26 nucleotides) under Rattus norvegicus (Norway rat). The record is from RNAcentral. Lineage: Eukaryota; Metazoa; Chordata; Mammalia; Rodentia; Muridae.
UUGUGCAUGGCAACCUUCUUCAGCAG